Bacillus rossius redtenbacheri is the source of this 626-nucleotide long non-coding RNA. RefSeq lists it as uncharacterized. The transcript is spliced from 3 exons. The record is from RefSeq and is a predicted model, not a curated record. NCBI's taxonomy places the organism in Eukaryota, Metazoa, Arthropoda, Insecta, Phasmatodea, Bacillidae.
UGUGCGCGGCGGUCUGUUGGUUUUUGGAGUCGCCGUGACCAGACGUGUGUCGCGAGGCAGGGAACACGGCUUUUCGACUCUGCACCGGCCAGUCCUCGCCGGGGCCUGCUGAGAUGGUGCCUUGCCUUACCCAGAGGCGUCUUCAGCGGCAAGAUAUUCGCAAUCUACACUAAGCCAUUUCAACUUGGCAUCAGACGCGCUGUCCAGUGGCCAUCGCUCGCCCCGGUCACUUCACAUUGCCACCAGAGAGAGACUGAACAAACAAGAGAAAUAAAAAUGAAAACAGGCCGGCGCGGGGUCCUGCCAGGCAUGGAGCCCUGGGUGGAUGCCCGGCUUGCCCUGCCCUGGAGCCCCCCCCCCCCCCCCCCACUUAUCUAUAAGCAUGGGUUGGUUUAUUGAGAAAACAUUACAUAAAGAAAGUAUAACAGCUUAACAAAAUUCAAGGAAACGUGUUCUUUAAAUAGACUUUCAUGUCAAAUUUAAGAAAAUAAAUGGUCAAAAAUCUUCGAAAACUAACAAACUGAUAAAAUAUUUUAUUGUUUAUUCCUAUUGUAUGCCAAGUUACUCGUAUUUUGGGGUGCAAACCCUCGCUCCUCGGGGAAAAAUGAGAACUCCACACUUUGACA